This 517-nucleotide long non-coding RNA is filed under the name Ananas comosus (pineapple). RNAcentral describes it as "long non-coding RNA (ACOM_LNC026994)". Lineage: Eukaryota; Viridiplantae; Streptophyta; Magnoliopsida; Poales; Bromeliaceae. The record is from RNAcentral.
AUAGUUCUCUUCUAAAAUUUUAUUUUAAAAAUAAGCCUGUUAAAAUUUUAUUUGUAGAUAUAGUCUUAUAAAAGCGGUGAAUCACCGCUUUUAAAAGCGGUGAACCAUUCACCGCUUUUUUUCACCGCUUUUUUUUCUUUUUCUUUCUUUUUAUUAUAAUUCUACGAUGGUAAAAGCGGUGAAUGAUUCACCGCUUUUAUUAUUUUUCUACUGCUAAAUAGAAGUUAUGAAUGCGGUAAAUCAUUCACCGCAUUUAAAGGUCUAUUUUUAUAAUUAUUUUUUAAAAAAAAUUAUUUUUAUAAUUAUAAAAAUUGAUAGGAUUAGUUAUAAAAAAUAUUCCUUGAAAAAUAUUAUAAUUUAAAGGCCUUUUUGCAUAAAAAAUCCACUUAUUUUGGGCUUUUGCAAAAUCGGGUCACCUUUUUCGUUUUUGCAGAUUCGGUCCGCUUUUUCAGCAAACUGACCAAAAUACCUUAUUACUUUUUCUCUUUCCUCUUUCUCUCUCCUCUUCGUUCUCUCG